GCCAUGGCUCAGUGGUAGAGCAUCUGCUUUGUAUGUAGAAGAUCCCAGGUUCAGUCUCCGGCAUAAUCU
Molecule: non-coding RNA, 69 nt
Organism: Podarcis lilfordi (Lilford's wall lizard)
Lineage: Eukaryota; Metazoa; Chordata; Lepidosauria; Squamata; Lacertidae
Source: the annotation of a GenBank genome assembly